This 801-nucleotide ribosomal RNA is filed under the name uncultured bacterium. Its description in RNAcentral is "bacterial SSU rRNA". It matches the Rfam family "Bacterial small subunit ribosomal RNA", at positions 70 to 867 of the family's 1533-position model. The record is from RNAcentral.
UAACGGGCCUUCGGGUGCCGACGAGUGGCGAACGGGUGAGUAAUGUAUCGGAACGUACCUUUCAGUGGGGGAUAACGUAGCGAAAGUUACGCUAAUACCGCAUAUUCUGUGAGCAGGAAAGCAGGGGAUCGCAAGACCUUGCGCUGAUUGAGCGGCCGAUAUCAGAUUAGCUAGUUGGUGAGGUAAAGGCUCACCAAGGCGACGAUCUGUAGCGGGUCUGAGAGGAUGAUCCGCCACACUGGAACUGAGACACGGUCCAGACUCCUACGGGAGGCAGCAGUGGGGAAUUUUGGACAAUGGGGGCAACCCUGAUCCAGCCAUGCCGCGUGAGUGAAGAAGGCCUUCGGGUUGUAAAGCUCUUUCGGCCGGGAAGAAAUCGUAUGGGCUAAUACCCUGUGCGGAUGACGGUACCGGCAUAAGAAGCACCGGCUAACUACGUGCCAGCAGCCGCGGUAAUACGUAGGGUGCGAGCGUUAAUCGGAAUUACUGGGCGUAAAGCGUGCGCAGGCGGUUUUGUAAGACAGGCGUGAAAUCCCCGGGCUCAACCUGGGAACUGCGUUUGUGACUGCAAGGCUAGAGUACGGCAGAGGGGGGUGGAAUUCCACGUGUAGCAGUGAAAUGCGUAGAGAUGUGGAGGAACACCAAUGGCGAAGGCAGCCCCCUGGGUCGAUACUGACGCUCAUGCACGAAAGCGUGGGUAGCAAACAGGAUUAGAUACCCUGGUAGUCCACGCCGUAAACGAUGAGUGCUAGGUGUUAGGCCCUUUCCGGGGCUUAGUGCCGCAGCUAACGCAUUAAGCAC